This 250-nucleotide ribosomal RNA is filed under the name uncultured soil bacterium. RNAcentral describes it as "partial 16S ribosomal RNA". It matches the Rfam family "Bacterial small subunit ribosomal RNA", at positions 26 to 285 of the family's 1533-position model. The record is from RNAcentral.
AGGAUGAACGCUGGCGGCGUGCUUAACACAUGCAAGUCACGGGGGCCCAGCAAUGGGCAACCGGCGAACGGGUGCGUAACACGUGAGCAACCUACCUAAGUGAGGGGGAUAGCCGGCCCAACGGCCGGGUAAUACCGCAUACGCUCGAAUUGAGGCAUUUUGAUUCGAGGAAACCUACGGGGCACUAUGAGGGGCUCGCGGCCUAUCAGCUAGUUGGUGGGGUAACGGCUCACCAAGGCGACGACGGGUA